Suncus etruscus (white-toothed pygmy shrew) is the source of this 108-nucleotide small nuclear RNA. NCBI's taxonomy places the organism in Eukaryota, Metazoa, Chordata, Mammalia, Eulipotyphla, Soricidae. The record is from RefSeq and is a predicted model, not a curated record.
GUGCUCGCUUCGGCAGCACAUAUACUAAAAUUGGAACGAUACAGAGAAGAUUAGCAUGGCCCCUGCAGAAGGAUGUGACGCAAAAAUAGUGCACGAAGCAAGGUCUCU